UACGAGGGGGGCGAGCGUUGUUCGGAAUUAUUGGGCGUGAAGGGUGCGUAGGCGGUUUGGUAAGUCUGAUGUGAAAUCUAUGGGCUCAACUCAUAGUCUGCAUCGGAAACUGCCGGGCUUGAGUAUGGGAGAGGUGAGUGGAAUUCCUGGUGUAGCGGUGAAAUGCGUAGAUAUCAGGAGGAACACCUGUGGCGAAAGCGGCUCACUGGACCAUAACUGACGCUGAUGCACGAAAGCUAGGGGAGCAAACAGG
This 253-nucleotide ribosomal RNA is filed under the name uncultured bacterium. RNAcentral describes it as "partial 16S ribosomal RNA". It matches the Rfam family "Bacterial small subunit ribosomal RNA", at positions 524 to 776 of the family's 1533-position model. The record is from RNAcentral.